AUUGAACGCUGGCGGCAUCCUUACACAUGCAAGUCGAACGGCAGCACGGGAGCAAUCCUGGUGGCGAGUGGCGAACGGGUGAGUAAUACAUCGGAACGUGCCCAAUCGUGGGGGAUAACGCAGCGAAAGCUGUGCUAAUACCGCAUACGAUCUACGGAUGAAAGCAGGGGAUCGCAAGACCUUGCGCGAAUGGAGCGGCCGAUGGCAGAUUAGGUAGUUGGUGAGGUAAAGGCUCACCAAGCCGUCGAUCUGUAGCUGGUCUGAGAGGACGACCAGCCACACUGGGACUGAGACACGGCCCAGACUCCUACGGGAGGCAGCAGUGGGGAAUUUUGGACAAUGGGCGAAAGCCUGAUCCAGCCAUGCCGCGUGCAGGAUGAAGGCCUUCGGGUUGUAAACUGCUUUUGUACGGAACGAAACGGCCUUUUCUAAUAAAGAGGGCUAAUGACGGUACCGUAAGAAUAAGCACCGGCUAACUACGUGCCAGCAGCCGCGGUAAUACGUAGGGUGCAAGCGUUAAUCGGAAUUACUGGGCGUAAAGCGUGCGCAGGCGGUUAUGUAAGACAGUUGUGAAAUCCCCGGGCUCAACCUGGGAACUGCAUCUGUGACUGCAUAGCUAGAGUACGGUAGAGGGGGAUGGAAUUCCGCGUGUAGCAGUGAAAUGCGUAGAUAUGCGGAGGAACACCGAUGGCGAAGGCAAUCCCCUGGACCUGUACUGACGCUCAUGCACGAAAGCGUGGGGAGCAAACAGG
This 752-nucleotide ribosomal RNA is filed under the name uncultured Comamonadaceae bacterium. Its description in RNAcentral is "bacterial SSU rRNA". It matches the Rfam family "Bacterial small subunit ribosomal RNA", at positions 28 to 776 of the family's 1533-position model. Lineage: Bacteria; Pseudomonadati; Pseudomonadota; Betaproteobacteria; Burkholderiales; Comamonadaceae. The record is from RNAcentral.